CCUACGGGUGGCAGCAGUGGGGAAUAUUGGACAAUGGGGGGAACCCUGAUCCAGCCAUGCCGCGUGUGUGAAGAAGGCCCUCGGGUUGUAAAGCACUUUCAGUGAGGAAGAACGCCUGGUGGUUAAUACCCAUCAGGAAGGACAUCACUCACAGAAGAAGCACCGGCUAACUCCGUGCCAGCAGCCGCGGUAAUACGGAGGGUGCGAGCGUUAAUCGGAAUUACUGGGCGUAAAGCGCGCGUAGGUGGCUUGAUAAGCCGGUUGUGAAAGCCCCGGGCUCAACCUGGGAACGGCAUCCGGAACUGUCAAGCUAGAGUGCAGGAGAGGAAGGUAGAAUUCCCGGUGUAGCGGUGAAAUGCGUAGAGAUCGGGAGGAAUACCAGUGGCGAAGGCGGCCUUCUGGACUGACACUGACACUGAGGUGCGAAAGCGUGGGUAGCAAACAGGAUUAGAUACCCUUGUAGUC
Molecule: ribosomal RNA, 465 nt
Filed under: Vreelandella stevensii
Lineage: Bacteria; Pseudomonadati; Pseudomonadota; Gammaproteobacteria; Oceanospirillales; Halomonadaceae
Description: partial 16S ribosomal RNA
Rfam family: Bacterial small subunit ribosomal RNA
Source: RNAcentral